AGCGAACGCUGGCGGCAGGCUUAACACAUGCAAGUCGAACGCCCCGCAAGGGGAGUGGCAGACGGGUGAGUAACACGUGGGAACGUACCCUUUGGUUCGGAAUAACUUGGGGAAACUCAAGCUAGUACCGGAUAAGCCCUUAUGGGGAAAGGUUUACUGCCGAAGGAUCGGCCCGCGUCUGAUUAGCUAGUUGGUGAGGUAAUGGCUCUCCAAGGCGACGAUCAGUAGCUGGUCUGAGAGGAUGAUCAGCCACACUGGGACUGAGACACGGCCCAGACUCCUACGGGAGGCAGCAGUGGGGAAUAUUGGACAAUGGGGGCAACCCUGAUCCAGCCAUGCCGCGUGAGUGAUGAAGGCCUUAGGGUUGUAAAACUCUUUUACCCGGGACGAUAAUGACCGUACCGGGAGAAUAAGCCCCGGCUAACUUCGUGCCAGCAGCCGCCGUAA
RNAcentral lists this ribosomal RNA (447 nucleotides) under uncultured bacterium. Its description in RNAcentral is "partial 16S ribosomal RNA". It matches the Rfam family "Bacterial small subunit ribosomal RNA", at positions 29 to 523 of the family's 1533-position model. The record is from RNAcentral.